UAAUACGGAGGGUGCAAGCGUUGUUCGGAAUUAUUGGGCGUAAAGCGCGUGUAGGCGGACAGUUAAGUCCGGUGUGAAAUCCCUCGGCUCAACUGAGGACGUGCACUGGAUACUGGCGGUCUUGAAUCCUGGAGAGGGUAGCGGAAUUCCCAGUGUAGAGGUGAAAUUCGUAGAUAUUGGGAGGAACACCGGUGGCGAAGGCGGCUACCUGGACAGUGAUUGACGCUGAGACGCGAAAGCAUGGGUAGCAAACAGGAUUAGAUACCCUGGUAGUCCAUGCCGUAAACGAUGGGUGCUAGCUGGUGCGGGUAUUGACCCCUGCGCUGGCGAAGCUAACGCGUUAAGCACCCCGCCUGGGGAGUACGGCCGCAAGGCUA
RNAcentral lists this ribosomal RNA (377 nucleotides) under uncultured bacterium. Its description in RNAcentral is "bacterial SSU rRNA". It matches the Rfam family "Bacterial small subunit ribosomal RNA", at positions 521 to 896 of the family's 1533-position model. The record is from RNAcentral.